Molecule: ribosomal RNA, 414 nt
Filed under: uncultured bacterium
Lineage: Bacteria
Description: bacterial SSU rRNA
Rfam family: Bacterial small subunit ribosomal RNA
Source: RNAcentral
UCGGGAAUAUUGCGCAAUGGAGGAAACUCUGACGCAGUGACGCCGCGUGCAGGAAGAAGGUUUUCGGAUUGUAAACUGCUUUAGACAGGGAAGAUAACGACAGUACCUGUAGAAUAAGCUCCGGCUAACUACGUGCCAGCAGCCGCGGUAAUACGUAGGGAGCAAGCGUUAUCCGGAUUUAUUGGGUGUAAAGGGUGCGUAGACGGGAAGGCAAGUUAGUUGUGAAAUCCCUCGGCUUAACUGAGGAACUACAACUAAAACUAUCUUUCUUGAGUGUUGGAGAGGAAAGUGGAAUUCCUAGUGUAGCGGUGAAAUGCGUAGAUAUUAGGAGGAACACCAGUGGCGAAGGCGACUUUCUGGACAAUAACUGACGUUGAGGCACGAAAGUGUGGGGAGCAAACAGGAUUAGAUACC